Biomphalaria glabrata is the source of this 485-nucleotide long non-coding RNA. RefSeq lists it as uncharacterized. Lineage: Eukaryota; Metazoa; Mollusca; Gastropoda; Planorbidae. The record is from RefSeq and is a predicted model, not a curated record. The transcript is spliced from 2 exons.
AAAAAAAGGUACAUCUAAGUGCGGUGCGAACGCUGUAUUGAACGCACAGAGUUUAUCUAUUGAGUCGUUACUGUCGUAUAACCAAGUUGAAGAAUAAAUAUCUCAUUAUUUUUAUCUAGAUUCUAAUUUAGCAAAGAUGCCUGCCAGGCAAGUAGUAACAAACCCAGUGUUGGUUGCAUUUACUGUCCAAGAUGUUGUAACUUCAGGAGUUGUACUAAGCAUUGUACUUUCAAAGCCUCUUGUGGGCGUCACUGAAACUUUCAUAUAUAGAUCCAUUCUUCGUAGAUACAGAGUCAUAAUAGGAGCUGCUGGAAUAAGGAAUGACGAUUUGUUCCUAGAAGUCCGCAGGAAGAUUACUGAUCUAAUUACCAAUAAUUUUGUUGUCCGACAACGAUCAAGAUUGUUUUUAAAAACCCAAUGAACAAUUGAUUCUUGAGUUUUUUUAAAAUAGAGUUUAAUUAAUAAAUUAAAUUUCUAAAAAAAUU